GACGAACGCUGGCGGCGUGCCUAAUACAUGCAAGUUGAGCGCUGAAGGUUGGUCCUUGUACCAACUGGAUGAGCAGCGAACGGGUGAGUAACGCGUGGGGAAUCUGCCUUUGAGCGGGGGACAACAUUUGGAAACGAAUGCUAAUACCGCAUAAAAACUUUAAACACACGUUUUAAGUUUGAAAGAUGCAAUUGCAUCACUCAAAGAUGAUCCCGCGUUGUAUUAGCUAGUUGGUGAGGUAAAGGCUCACCAAGGCGAUGAUACAUAGCCGACCUGAGAGGGUGGUCGGCCACAGUGGGACUGAGACACGGCCCAAACUCCUACGGGAGGCAGCAGUAGGGAAUCUUCGGCAAUGGACGAAAGUCUGACCGAGGAACGCCGCGUGAGUGAAGAAGGUUGUCGGAUCGUAAAACUCUGUUGGUAGAGAAGAACGUUGGUGAGAGUGGAAAGCUCAUCAAGUGACGGUAACUACCCAGAAAGGGACGGCUAACUACGUG
Molecule: ribosomal RNA, 497 nt
Filed under: uncultured bacterium
Lineage: Bacteria
Description: partial 16S ribosomal RNA
Rfam family: Bacterial small subunit ribosomal RNA
Source: RNAcentral